This 1944-nucleotide long non-coding RNA is filed under the name Nicotiana tabacum (common tobacco). RNAcentral's name for it is "long non-coding RNA (NTAB_LNC003956)". Lineage: Eukaryota; Viridiplantae; Streptophyta; Magnoliopsida; Solanales; Solanaceae. The record is from RNAcentral.
UAAGCAUGUGCAUUCAUAUACAUGACAAAGAUGCCCAUGUCUAGAUGAUAUUAUUAAGCUUAUAAUCAAUUUGGAUACUGUAACUUUGAGAGAAGCUCACACGAAAGGCUUGACGAAUCUAUUUAAUUCAUUAAAAUCUCAAGCAAGAAUUUCUUUUAAAUACAUCUUCAUGCAUGAAAAUGUUACCAAAAUCAAGUUCACAUGCCUUGCGAGAAUUCAUAACUAAUCUAGAAAGCUAUGGAAUUUGGUUACUUGAGAAGUUGAAAGCAUUGCUCCUUUAAACUAUGUGGUUACAUGUCAACUCUACUCUAACCCAUAUUUUUAUAUCAUUGGACACAUACUCAUGUUCAAAUAUAUCUCACUGUUAUCACAAAGUACCUGCAUAUAAAAUACGAAAUUGGAACCAGCAUGGAGCAAAAAUUGACUUCUUAACACUUGUAGAUCUCCUUCCCCAAGCUCUUAUCCUGGCCCUUUGGGAUGGUUUCAUCUAAAUGAAGCCAUGCAUAGGUAACUUAUAUUUUAAUGGGUCGUAUUGCCAUGUCAACUCCCAUUUAAUUACCUGCUAGCAAAAGUUGUUCUGAACCGAGUCAGUAAUUAGCUUUUUAUGCAUAGUGAAUUAACUAAAUAGUAUAUAAUACAUAAGAUAUUGUUCAAUAAUUAUGACUAGUAGAAGUAAUAUAGAUUUGGAGUUGCUAAAUGAUAGUAUAUUUAUGUUAUAGAACAACUGGAAAAAAAAGGAAUAAAAGCUCUUUCAGUUGUUUCAGGUUUAUUGUCAAACACUUUUGUUGCAUCAAAGUUCUUCCAUUUUUGUUACUACUAUUUAUUCUUGAUGACAAUUCAGUGCUUCCGUAGAAGAGUUCUAAAAAAUAACUACAUACAUGAAGAAAGAGAAGAAGCAAACAAAUAUCCAAAAUCACAUACUCUGUAGGAGUAUUAAAAAGAAAAACAAAGCGAAAUGCAAAGACACUUUCAGAGAGCGAGUGAAAAUUGUAAAUCAAUAAUCUUAUCAAAAAUAGAAUCGAACAUCUAAAUGCUCAUCAAGAAGAAAAAGAGAAGAAAAUCAGCAAAUCCACAUACAAAGGGAAACCACAAUAGAAAUUUUGAAAUGAAUCAAGAAUCCAUGGCCAAGAGACAAAAACACACAGGAUGACUGAAACUUAUUUUUUUCCCUUACAAAUCUUCUUCCAUAUGCGGAUAGCUUUGCACCGCAAUCAAAUGAAAUUUUGCGAAAUAUGGAGGAAAAAUGAAUCAUCAACCCUCUUAUCUGAAAACUUAAGAAUGUCCUGAAAGAGAACAAGUGAAAGAAGAAAGCUGCUCAUGACACCUAUAGCACUCAUGUCUGCCAUUAAAGCAGUAUACAUACUUCGAAUGAAGAUCAAAUAUGAAAUUACUCCUAAAAUAAUUCAUAAUUUCGAGAAUACAACCUAUUUCACCCUUAAUCGGAACCUUUAAAGAACAAAAUUUUUCCACUAAACACCCCAAUUUACACAAUCAAGAUCAGAAACAAAGAGCAUGCACUAAGGCAUUUCUUUUUCUGACAACGCUAGUAUAUGUGGUACAAUGCACCUAGAUAUUUCUUUCCAGAGAUGCAUAUCAAAAUGAGAUAGAAAAUCUAGCAAGAAAUUAUUCAAAAGAAUAGAGAAACCAACAUCGAACAAAAAUAGACAAAACUUCAAAGAAAUCCAGAACACAACACAAGGAGAAAAAAAAUCGGGGAAAAAACUUAUAAAACUUAAUAAACACAAUAGACGCUAGAAAAUUGAGGCAAACAACAUGAAAAAUCACAAAAAGACAGAAUUCAUGUAAGAAAUAUGAACAUAGACAGAGGAAAAAUCUCAUACUCAAAGGAUCCAAAGAAGCCCAGACGAAUUGUAAAACUCAUUGAACUUGCAGAGUGUGCGAAGGAGAGAGAAUUAGAGGAGUUGUAAUAUGUUUGCACUCUGC